AUAUACUGUCAUUCGAAUAUCAACCAUGGUGGAUCUCGAUAUUUUUCAUCCUUUGUUCUGGGUUUAAUCUCCAGAUGGCGCUAAAUUACAUCACUUGUAAGAAUGUUUUCAGUAGUAAACACGUAUAUAUUUGGUGUAUACCAAAAUAGUAUUCAAGUAGUUUACUACAUUAUAAAUUGUAUUCAUUAUUAUUUUUAUUAUUUAAUAAAAAAAUCAAAACUUGAUUCAUUCGAUAAAUUGUACAUAUUUGGUUUGAGGAUUGAUCGUACAAUUUAUGAUCAGGCACAGUUUGAAGUUUUUUUUUACACCGUGGUGUAACUACGCAACAUGAAAUUGAAUCCCUUUACAACACCGAUAGACACGAACAGAUGUUUUUAUUUUGUUUUGCUUUUACCUUUUUACAACUUCUUGAUGGAAACUAUAAAUUCAACAAAAUAAAUAAAAUUAAUUGUAAUUUGUUUGUGACCCAAAAAUAUAUAAUCGACUGUGCGAUAAUAUUCAAAUGUGGCCAAUGCAUAAUUAUGUGUGGGCAUUCAUACCCAGCCCAAAGGUGGCUGUCACAAGUUUUACCAUGUAAUUGAAAGAUAGAACUAUUUAGAUAACAUUUUUGAAAGAAAAUCCAGGCAUUUCUUUCAUUUCUCGCGCUAUUUAACUGAUUUAAAAAAGAGGAAAAUAUUGAAUAAAUGAAAAUAACUUGUUUGCAUGCAAAUUUGACUGGAAGCGGGCAUAGCCUCAGGGCUGUAUUUCUGUAGUUUUACGAAGCUGUUCUACCUCCUUAUUGUACCAUGGGAGCAACUGAUGUAUUCACUUUUGGAUGAUUCCAGGAGUGAAGAGGACUGGCUGAAUGAGGAAUCAGACGAAGAAAACGUAUUUGAAAACAGUGCAAAAUUAGUGAAAGGUUGGCUGUCUUACCAACUUUCGGCAUUAAGUCAUCUAGCAGACCUAACAUAAAUUUAACCGGCGCCUCCAACCAUGUCAGCUUCUCCGGGGUUGGGAUUUGACAAAACUCCACCUCUAAAUACUCGUCAACACAUUCUGAAAACAAAACUUUCUAAAUAAAGAGCAUGCAAAAAUAAAUAUUAAUUUCAACUUAUUUUCAA
Molecule: long non-coding RNA, 1100 nt
Organism: Musca domestica (house fly)
Lineage: Eukaryota; Metazoa; Arthropoda; Insecta; Diptera; Muscidae
Exons: 2
Source: RefSeq, a predicted model, not a curated record